Molecule: ribosomal RNA, 465 nt
Filed under: Cladosporium uredinicola
Lineage: Eukaryota; Fungi; Ascomycota; Dothideomycetes; Cladosporiales; Cladosporiaceae
Description: eukaryotic LSU rRNA
Rfam family: 5.8S ribosomal RNA (bases 115-268)
Source: RNAcentral
GUUGUCCGACUCUGUUGCCUCCGGGGCGACCCUGCCUUCGGGCGGGGGCUCCGGGUGGACACUUCAAACUCUUGCGUAACUUUGCAGUCUGAGUAAACUUAAUUAAUAAAUUAAAACUUUUAACAACGGAUCUCUUGGUUCUGGCAUCGAUGAAGAACGCAGCGAAAUGCGAUAAGUAAUGUGAAUUGCAGAAUUCAGUGAAUCAUCGAAUCUUUGAACGCACAUUGCGCCCCCUGGUAUUCCGGGGGGCAUGCCUGUUCGAGCGUCAUUUCACCACUCAAGCCUCGCUUGGUAUUGGGCAACGCGGUCCGCCGCGUGCCUCAAAUCGACCGGCUGGGUCUUCUGUCCCCUAAGCGUUGUGGAAACUAUUCGCUAAAGGGUGUUCGGGAGGCUACGCCGUAAAACAACCCCAUUUCUAAGGUUGACCUCGGAUCAGGUAGGGAUACCCGCUGAACUUAAGCAUAU